Molecule: ribosomal RNA, 460 nt
Filed under: uncultured bacterium
Lineage: Bacteria
Description: partial 16S ribosomal RNA
Rfam family: Bacterial small subunit ribosomal RNA
Source: RNAcentral
CCUACGGGGGACAGCAGUGAGGAAUAUUGGUCAAUGGACGCAAGUCUGAACCAGCCAUGCCGCGUGCAGGAAGACGGCCCUAUGAGUUGUAAACUGCUUUUGUACGAGGGUAAACUCAGAUACGCGUAUCUGUCUGAAAGUAUCGUACGAAUAAGGAUCGGCUAACUCCGUGCCAGCAGCCGCGGUAAUACGGAGGAUUCAAGCGUUAUCCGGAUUUAUUGGGUUUAAAGGGUGCGUAGGCGGUCGGAUAAGUUAGUGGUGAAAUCCCGAGGCUCAACUUCGGAAUUGCCGCUGAUACUGUUAGGCUAGAGAGUAGUUGCGGUAGGCGGAAUGUAUGGUGUAGCGGUGAAAUGCUUAGAGAUCAUACAGAACACCGAUUGCGAAGGCAGCUUACCAAGCUGCAUCUGACGUUGAGGCACGAAAGCGUGGGGAGCAAACAGGAUUAGAUACCCGAGUAGUC